CCUCGAAUCUUCGAUUAGGGCUUUUCUCCGAAGAAUAAUGAACUUCUCUUCGAUGCCGUACCUCCGCCGCCGCGUCCGCCAUUGCCGCUAAUGCCGAGCCGACAUCUCCGUUGCUAUUUCUUCCCUCAUGAUCGAACUAUUUGACAUUAUUUUUGGAUGAUAAUGAUUCAUAUUAUUAGCAGUUAAGGUAAUAUGUGACCAUUAAGUGGAAAAUCAAGAGGAUACAAAUUUGUGCAUUACUCUUCUGAGAUGAUGGGUUGCCAAGUAUGCUUGAUUAUUCAGAUUUUAGAUUCAUUUUUUCUUCAUCAACUUCAUUAGAUUUCUCUAUGAUGGGUUGCCAAGUAUGCUUGACUAUUUAUCUGUGUUGUUUGUUUUUUGUAGUUGCUGGAUGGCAAAAAUUUAGGCGUUUUUUAUGGCCACGAAGAGCGAAAGCAAUUAAGUCGGGUCUAACACUAGCUUUUGAUGUUAUUAUGUUCAUUAUAUAAACUCUAUUUCCUACUUGUCAUCGUUACUCAUUUGCACGGUUUAUAAAAAUUAAAUUUCAAUUGCUUCGUCAAUUUUGUUCCAUUUUCCACAUGUAUCCGGAUGUUUUUACAUACAAUGGUCUAAUUAUAGCACAUGGUAUAGUACGGUGACUUCUCCUUUUUAAGAAUCCCUUUUCUGUCUCCUUUUUUGUCUUUAAUUUUAAUUGUAAAUAAUCAGUUUUCAGACAUUUUGCUGAAUGGCCUACUAUAGUUGCUGCAAAUUAUAAAUGGUUGGGUUGAUUAUACCCUUCAAAAUGAUUAAACUCAUUCUACAUACCUUUAUUAUGUGCCCUUGUUCAGUUCUUGGAAUGAGUUAAUUUUAUUCAGCCUUGCUACCGAAUUUCAAAGUUUUAAUGUCGACUGCUACUUUAUCACUGACAACUAUAUCAUGAACUUUACAGAUUAGGGGAUUAAGAUCAAAGAUUGGCAGCAAUAAAGGGCCUGUUCUAUUGUAUCGAAAUGUUCUGUUUCACCUAGUAAAGUUGUUGGAUUGCUAGUGACAUAUAUGCUUAUAUCCAGGUAUCCGUUCUUGCUAAACUCAUUCACGGUAAAAAUAGCAUAUAUUAUUUCGUUGGUGUUUUUAUCCAUAGUACAAGCUGUAGCUUUUACGGUAUAAUGCAAGCGCAAGUUCUUGAAUUGCAGCUCACUGGUUUCUCUUAUUUUGUAGGUUAGGUUAGCAUCGUAAUUGUGGAUUAGCAUUGUAAUUGUGGGUUGCAACAUUCUUCGCCGAUAUAUCAGAAAAACUACAGCGGAAGCCUGACAAGUACCUAAGCCAUGGAAUAGAUGAUUGGAAAAGUGUAAAUUAACUUUAUGUUGUAGAUAUAUCUAAUUUUAAACCAGUGGAUAAAUAACAAGUU
RNAcentral lists this long non-coding RNA (1381 nucleotides) under Erythranthe guttata (spotted monkey flower). RNAcentral's name for it is "long non-coding RNA (EGUT_LNC001776)". Lineage: Eukaryota; Viridiplantae; Streptophyta; Magnoliopsida; Lamiales; Phrymaceae. The record is from RNAcentral.